Molecule: ribosomal RNA, 425 nt
Filed under: uncultured bacterium
Lineage: Bacteria
Description: partial 16S ribosomal RNA
Rfam family: Bacterial small subunit ribosomal RNA
Source: RNAcentral
GUGGGGAAUCUUAGACAAUGGGGGAAACCCUGAUCUAGCCAUGCCGCGUGAGCGAUGAAGGCCUUAGGGUUGUAAAGCUCUUUCAGCUGGGAAGAUAAUGACUGUACCAGCAGAAGAAGCCCCGGCUAACUCCGUGCCAGCAGCCGCGGUAAUACGGAGGGGGCUAGCGUUGUUCGGAAUUACUGGGCGUAAAGCGCACGUAGGCGGACCGGAAAGUCAGAGGUGAAAUCCCAGGGCUCAACCUUGGAACUGCCUUUGAAACUCCUGGUCUUGAGGUCGAGGGAGGUGAGUGGAAUUCCGAGUGUAGAGGUGAAAUUCGUAGAUAUUCGGAGGAACACCAGUGGCGAAGGCGGCUCACUGGCUCGAUACUGACGCUGAGGUGCGAAAGCGUGGGGAGCAAACAGGAUUAGAAACCCGUGUAGUCC